RNAcentral lists this ribosomal RNA (253 nucleotides) under uncultured bacterium. Its description in RNAcentral is "partial 16S ribosomal RNA". It matches the Rfam family "Bacterial small subunit ribosomal RNA", at positions 524 to 776 of the family's 1533-position model. The record is from RNAcentral.
UACGUAGGGUCCGAGCGUUGUCCGGAUUUAUUGGGCGUAAAGGGUGCGUAGGCGGCGCGGUAAGUCGGGUGUGAAAUCUCGGGGCUUAACUCCGAAACUGCAUUCGAUACUGCCGUGCUUGAGGACUGGAGAGGAGACUGGAAUUUACGGUGUAGCGGUGAAAUGCGUAGAUAUCGUAAGGAAGACCAGUGGCGAAGGCGGGUCUCUGGACAGUUCCUGACGCUGAGGCACGAAGGUCAGGGGAGCAAACGGG